GUCAACUACCUCGGCCUAAAGGCCGAGGCUUGAAAAAGCCUCUAGUUGACUAGCCUCAGUCUGUCGUUUUGAGGACUACGUUGGUUGGGAAUGCACAGGCACCGCGGGAUGCAGAUCCUAGUCCCGCGCUCUGC
This 134-nucleotide small RNA is filed under the name uncultured Parasutterella sp. RNAcentral's name for it is "HNH endonuclease-associated RNA and ORF (HEARO) RNA". It matches the Rfam family "HNH endonuclease-associated RNA and ORF (HEARO) RNA", at positions 1 to 127 of the family's 211-position model. Lineage: Bacteria; Pseudomonadati; Pseudomonadota; Betaproteobacteria; Burkholderiales; Sutterellaceae. The record is from RNAcentral.